This 863-nucleotide long non-coding RNA is filed under the name Ananas comosus (pineapple). Its description in RNAcentral is "long non-coding RNA (ACOM_LNC027651)". The record is from RNAcentral. Lineage: Eukaryota; Viridiplantae; Streptophyta; Magnoliopsida; Poales; Bromeliaceae.
UUUCACUUAUUUACCUCUUAUUACUAUUCAAAAUUUCAAAUUUACUGCAAAGUUACCGAAAUACCCUUCUAAAUCCUAAAUUCUAAGGUACCGUUUGGUUCGGGUAUAAGCAAGAACUAGCUAUUAUAGGAAUAGGUACGAGUAUGGGGAUAAAAAAAAUAGCGUUUAGAUGAAAAUUGGGUUGUUCCCGAGGAUAAGAAAAAUAUUAGGAAGUUUUAUAUAGAAAAUGAAGGUGUUGGUGGGGAGUGUGGGGAUAUUUGCGGGGAUUUUUGAAAAUCAAUAAAUACAUUUUGGUCAAUUAAGGGGUACAUUAGAUAUUUUUAAAAUUUUAAAAAGUACAUUAUUAUUCUUAGAUGUAUAAGACUUGUAUCAACUAUCACCGUUUUUUAUUUAACUAUCUAAUCUUUAAGAAUUUUGAUUUUACUACCUAUCAUUUUAGAUUAUUUGAUUUGAGUCAGUUAACGAUACUUUACCUUUCAAUUUUUUUGAAUAAUUCAUUAAUUUUUACAUAUUUAAUUAGUAUAUUUUAUAUAAUUUGUUCAGUGAAUAAAAUUACUAUGCUAUCGGAAGAAUAAAGGAUCUGGUGUUUCCGACUUUUUAGCCCUUAGAUCAGUCAUGCACUUUAAUCAUUUUUAAUCUUUGGAUUAAUACUAUUACACUGUGGGGAUCACUCAACCCUAAAGGUAUUACUCAAUCCUAGGUGGGACUGCAAUCAUCCUAAUCGUAUAAUUCUUGAUCCAAGGGUCAAAAAAUCGAAAGCAUCAAAUUCUCUGCAUAGUAACUCUACACUUUGUUCAAUUAUAAAUUUAUAAAAGUGAAUAAUUAGCUUAAAUUUUGUAUCGAAAGAGCCAUUAAGUCAUUUC